UGCCACCUCAGGUUGGGCUGAUGCCACCUUGAGCUUGGGUGAUGCCAUCUCAAGCUGGGGCUGAUGCCACCUUGGGCUGGGGCUGGUCCCACCUUGAGCUUGGGUGGUGCCACCUUGGCUUGAUGCCACCUUGAGUUGGGCUGAUGCCACCUUGAGCUUGGGUGAUGCCACCAGGGGCUGGUUUGUGCCACCUCAGGUUGGGCUGGUGCCAUCUCAAGCUGCUUUGAUGCCACCACGGGCUGGUUUGGUCCCAGCUCAGGCCGGGCCGAUGCCAGCCGGGGUUGUGGGCACCCCGUGGCCCCACAGGUGUGGGGCGGUGGGUGACGGUGGGGCGGGCGUUGCAGGUACUGCCUGAUGCAGUCCAUCAAGCACUGCCAGGUCCAGCGCGAGAGCCUGGUCCGGGCCGGGAAGAAGAUCGCCUACCAGGGCCGGGUGAAGGACGAGCCGGCCUACUACUGCAACGAGUGCGACGUGAGUCACCGCGGGUGGCCUUGGGGUGACCUCGGGGUGGCCUCGGGGGUGGCCUUGGAAGGGUCUCGGUCACAGCCUUGGUUUGGUCUUGGCACCAUCUUUGGCGUGGAUUUGGUAUGGCCUUGUCUUGGGGUGACCUUGCAAUGGCCUUCGAUGAUCUUGGUCAUGGUCUUGGGGUGGUCUUAGGGAGACCUUGGGGUGGCCUUGGAGUGGUCUUGGGCAUGGUCUUGGGGAGACCUUGGAAUGGUCUUGGGGUGACCUCGGGGUGGCCUUGGGGAGACCUUAGAAUGGUGUUGGGGUGGUCUUGGUCAUGGUCUUGGGAUGGCCCUGGGGUGGCCUCGGGGUGGCCUUGGAAAGGUCUCGGUCACAGCCUUGGUUUGGUCUUGGCACCAUCUUGGUCAUGGUCUUGGGAUGGUCUUGGAGUGGUCUUGGUCAUGGUCUUGGGAUGAUCUUGGUCGUGGUCUUGGGGUGGUCUUGGGGAGACCUUGGGGUGGCCUUGGGAUGAUCUUGGGCAUGGUCUUGGGGUGGCCUUGGGAUGGUCUUGGGGAGACCUUGGGGUGGCCUUGGGAUGAUCUUGGGCAUGGUCUUGGGGUGGCCUUGGGAUGGUCUUGGGGAGACCUUGGGGUGGCCUUGGGAUGGUCUUGGGCGUGGUCUUGGGGUGGCCUUGGGGAGACCUUGGGGUGGCCUUGGGAUGGUCUUGGGAUGGUCUUGGGGUGGCCUUGGGGAGACCUUGGAAUGGUGUUGGGAUGGUCUUGGUCAUGGUCUUGGGAUGGUCUUGGGGAGGCCUUGGGGGUGGCCUUGGGGGUGGCCUUGGAAGGGUCUCGGUCACAGCCUUGGUUUGGUCUUGGCACCAUCUUGGUCAUGGUCUUGGGAUGGUCUUGGGGAGACCUUGGGAUGGCCUUGGGAUGGUCUUGGGCGUGGUCUUGGGGUGGCCUUGGGGAGACCUUGGGGUGGCCUUGGGCAUGGUCUUGGGGUGGCCUUGGGGAGACCUUGGAAUGGUGUUGGGAUGGUCUUGGUCAUGAUCUUGGGAUGGCCCUGGGGUGGCCUUGGGGUGACCUCGGGGUGGCCUUGGGGGUGGCCUUGGAAGGGUCUCGGUCACAGCCUUGGUUUGGUCUUGGCACCAUCUUGGUCACGGUCUUGGGGUGGUCUUGGGGAGACCUUGGGGUGGCCUUGGAGUGGUCUUGGGCAUGGUCUUGGGGAGACCUUGGAAUGGUCUUGGGGUGACCUCGGGGUGGCCUUGGGGAGACCUUAGAAUGGUGUUGGGGUGGUCUUGGUCAUGGUCUUGGGAUGGCCCUGGGGUGGCCUCGGGGUGGCCUUGGGGGUGGCCUUGGAAGGGUCUCGGUCAUGGCCUCGGUUUGGUCUUGGCACCAUCUUGGUCACGGUCUUGGGGUGGUCUUGGGGAGACCUUGGGGUGGCCUUGGAGUGGUCUUGGGCAUGGGCUUGGGAUGGUCUUGGGGUGGUCUUGGGGUGACCUUGGGCCGUGGUCUUGGGGUGGCCUUGGGGAGACCUUGGAAUGGUGUUGGGGUGGUCUUGGGGUGUCCUUGGUCGUGGUCUUGGGGAGACCUUGGAAGGGCCUCGGUCACAGCCUUGGUUUGGUCUUGGCACCAUCUUGGGCAUGGCCUUGGGAUGGUCUUGGGGUGGUCUUGGUCAUGGUCUUGGGGUGUCCUUGGUCAUGGCCUUAGGGUGGUCUUGGGGUAGUCAUGGCCAUCAUCUUGGCAUGGCCUUGGGGUGGUCUUGGCUGUGGUUUUGGCAUGACCUUGGGGUGGUCUUGGUCAUGGCCUUGGUCAUGGUCUUGAUAUUGUCUUGGUGUGACCUUGGCGUGACCCUGGCCGUGGUCUUGGGGCCAUGACCUUGCUGUGGCGUUGACCAUGACCUUGGCGUGAUCUUGACCAUGGUCUUACCGAGGUGUUGGCCACGACCAAGACGGUGGCCAAGAAGACCUCCAAGCCCAUGGGCGAAACCCUCCUGAGACCACACCGAGGGUGAUGGGGAUGUCACCCAUCUCAGGGUGGGGGUGGGACCUUCCACGUGGUGACACCCCAGAGGCCACCACCCCCCAAAGGGUUGGCCAAGACCCUCUCGGGCCGACUCUCCUCGUGGUGGGAUGAGGAAGCGAGGAGCCGCGGUGGGGUCCUGCUGGAGGUGUGGGGUGGUGACGAUGCCAUGGGUCACCCCACGGGUGCAUGUCCUGCAGGUGGAGGUCUUCAACAUCCUCUUCGUGACC
Molecule: long non-coding RNA, 2695 nt
Filed under: Calidris pugnax (ruff)
Lineage: Eukaryota; Metazoa; Chordata; Aves; Charadriiformes; Scolopacidae
Description: lncRNA (ENSCPUG00000004141.1)
Source: RNAcentral